UAAUCUAAUCUAAACAUAUUUAUUUAUAGUGGAUUGGGAAACAAGUUUUGCAACUUAUAUUAAUCCCUUUCCACUUUGCGGGUGCGAGUGCUGCCUUGUAGCGGCAUUAGCCUACUCUUUUUCGAAAUCUACAAGGGUGUCUUUAACGUGCAAGAGAUGUGGCUCUCUCUUAACACGGGCCAGCCAUUUAUCGUCCCCGUCCGACGGACUAUCAUCGUUUCCUCAAGAC
Molecule: long non-coding RNA, 229 nt
Filed under: Mytilus galloprovincialis (Mediterranean mussel)
Lineage: Eukaryota; Metazoa; Mollusca; Bivalvia; Mytilida; Mytilidae
Source: RNAcentral